Oryzias melastigma (Indian medaka) is the source of this 2121-nucleotide long non-coding RNA. RefSeq lists it as uncharacterized. The record is from RefSeq and is a predicted model, not a curated record. NCBI's taxonomy places the organism in Eukaryota, Metazoa, Chordata, Actinopteri, Beloniformes, Adrianichthyidae. The transcript is spliced from 3 exons.
GAUAAACAUGUCUCAAGAUGUUAGAGUAAAGGAGAAAAACACCAUCACAUAGAAUGUCUCUCAGGAGUACUGACACAUUUUCCUUGUGUCGCAUGUCAGAGUCCAUGUAGAGAAUAUGUUGUGUUGUAAACUCAUGAUGAUCUGUUCACUGUACCCUGUCAACGGCCUUGCAUAGAAAUGCAGUGUGUUUGGAUAUACUGAGAAAGCUGCUUGCAAAUAGAUCUAAGAGCCUAAUGAGAUUGACCAGCCUCUAAAACUGGAUGCAACAAAAUCUGAUUGAAUAUCUAUGGAUUGCACCACAGAGAGAUACAUCUAUUGUGAUUCAAUCCUACAAUCCACUGGAUGCAAAGGAUCCUGCUGCCAUUGUCACGAUCCAAGACACCACAGGAGCUUCCAGUAUACAAACAGCUCAAGACUGCUGGCGUAACAUCGGGGAGAAAUUCUGGGCAUGCGGUGGUCGGCAGGUCGCUGUGAACACCUAACCAACACAUAAGGUGGACAUAUGAAGCUCAAGGGAACAGCAAGACUCCUGCGCUCUUCUUAAAAUGUAGACCCUUCUGUCUACAACCCUUUGAGCAUAGACAACACAAAAAUCUGCAGUACCUGUAUGGGUCGACCACUGUAUGUGUCCAAGUAUCCUUGUAGCUGCCCUUCUUCUUCAACUUCCUCCAUUCUCCUCAGCCUCUAGGUCUUUCUUUCUGUCCAACAUGAUAAAUUAAGCCUAAAUAAACUUGUUCAUCUUUCAAUUAGAGCCAGUGUUCAAGAGGUGCCAGCCAUCAUGAAGCUAUCUGGCAAACUCGGAGCUAUAGUAAUUAGAGGAAAAACAGAAAAAUGGAAUGAGAUAGAGCUUUUGUAAAAGGGGAGUGAUGAAAUGAUGUUUAGGAUAGGACAGAGCAGGAAAUAAACUAGAAAUGAAUGCAUAAACACGCAGUCGCUCUGUACAGUACGUGUAGGAAUGAAACAUCUUAGCUAAGGAAGCAGAUCCCACAUUUCCUAUAUCUGUCUUGCGCCUCCUUCUGAAAAGUACUCCAGUCUCUAGGUGACAACUCAGAGCCUUGCUCCCCUCCUCAUCAUCUAACAUUCUCUUAAACACAACAUUGCCUUUACUGAUUACACAAUUUCUUUUGUUUUGUUGUCUCUCAAUGUUUUGAGUCUGAUUACUGUUUUCCUGAGACGCCUAGAAAUAUAAUUAGAUUCUCGUGGCACAUAGAUGUGUGUGUUGCUCUCAGAUAACAAUGUCAAAAUCUUCAGCAGUUUACAUGAGUGGCCACAAACCCUUCAGUUAGACGUCCGAUGGGCCUCAAAUUAAUUCUGCGGCUUUACAACCAGCCCUGACAGACAGCCGCAGAGACCCAGUGGAAGUGACAACAAAACCAAGGAGUCCUGCAACAGAUGGCCCCUUCAGAGCCCUGACGUCAAAAUCACUGAGUCACUCGGGGGAUUACGCUGAGCCUAACUGAAGCUGUUUGAAUUGUCCACUCAUUUCCUCUGUAGUACACUACAAAGGGAGUCAAAAUAUUUUUGUGCUUUUAAAAGUUCCAGAUAAAGCUUUUCAAUGGAAGUAGUGUUUAUAAAUUACAGACAUCUGCUGUUCAAAAACACAUGUUUAGUCAUCCUUACAUCAGUAGUGAUAAUCAAGAGACAAUUGUCAUCAGUGGGGGAGGUAGUCUAGCAGUCGCACAUGAACUUUGGCAAAGAAUUUGAGUUGCAUCAACCAAUCAGGGAGUCAGCUUUUGCAGCGUCACAUUUUGAUAAUGAUCAGUGGGUGCAGUCCAAAACCAAUAUGAAGGAGAGUCUGAUCAUCGCCCUCCUGAACUUAAUAUAUUUUUUAUUUGCAUCAAGACAAGAGCAUAAAAAUACUCUUAUUGUAUUCUUUUUUCCUCCUUGUGUGAGGAAAAAAUGCGAGACAGGAAGUUGUCAAACUGGGUCACAGAGAGACGAAAGUACCGCUGAAAGCAUCUGUCGUACAGACUCCCGUCGUUGAUGGUGAAUCUCAUCGUACUGGAAGAAUCUAUGAAUUAUUUCAUGAACACAUUUUUCACAAAUGUCUUAGCGAAUUUAAUAUAUAUCAAAAAUGAGGCAGCUGAGGCGAAUUUGAUGUGCAAAUCGCAUUCCUUGUAA